Hippoglossus stenolepis (Pacific halibut) is the source of this 102-nucleotide small nuclear RNA. The record is from RefSeq and is a predicted model, not a curated record. NCBI's taxonomy places the organism in Eukaryota, Metazoa, Chordata, Actinopteri, Pleuronectiformes, Pleuronectidae.
GUACUUGCUUCCAGUACAUAUAAUAAAUUGGAUACGAUACAGAAGAUUAGCAUGGCCCUGCGAAAGGAUGACCGCAUAGGUCAUUAGGCAUUUCAUAUUUUA